RNAcentral lists this non-coding RNA (104 nucleotides) under Cyclobacterium marinum. RNAcentral describes it as "SAM-I sequence". It matches the Rfam family "SAM riboswitch aptamer (S box leader)". Rfam says of the family: The SAM riboswitch is found upstream of a number of genes which code for proteins involved in methionine or cysteine biosynthesis in Gram-positive bacteria. The SAM riboswitch acts at the level of transcription termination control. The predicted structure consists of a complex stem-loop region followed by a single stem loop terminator region. Lineage: Bacteria; Pseudomonadati; Bacteroidota; Cytophagia; Cytophagales; Cyclobacteriaceae. RNAcentral also lists the same sequence under 1 other name. The record is from RNAcentral.
GAUUUAUAAAGAAGUAGCGAGAGACUGGCUCUAUGACCUACUGGCAACCUUCAUCAAAUGAAAAGGUGCCAAUUCCAGACUCUUAAAUAAGAGGACUAUAAAAA